Long non-coding RNA from Centruroides sculpturatus (bark scorpion), 1194 nucleotides. RefSeq lists it as uncharacterized. The transcript has 3 exons. NCBI's taxonomy places the organism in Eukaryota, Metazoa, Arthropoda, Arachnida, Scorpiones, Buthidae. The record is from RefSeq and is a predicted model, not a curated record.
UUUCCAGCAACGAAGUAUUUAAUAAAAUAAAGUAUUAUAUUAUAUCAAGAUAGUUUUAAUCCUGAAUUCAGUAUUUCCUUUAAGCUGUUCUUGUCCAACACUUGCAAGAAAUGUGAUGAAUACACGUGAAAAAGUCCACAGGAGAGGAUACAAGAGUUAUACCUUUGCAAAGUUGAUGCUGCAAAACAGCAGCUAAAAAAAAAAAAGAAAGAAAUUUUUUGCUAACUGUUGACUUACAGCAAGCUUUGCCUAUUCCUAUCUUAUCAACUGAAUGCAUAUUUUAUUUGAUGCAAUUAUGGACUUAUAAUUUUGGUAUUUAAGUCCUGCAUGAAAACAAUGAUGUUGUGAUGGACUUUCUGUAAUAUGCAUUUAUAAAGAAGAAAAUAAGGUAUUGUAGUUGCAUUUUGUAUUUCAGAAUGGAUUUAUCAUUAAAAUAUUAAAUGUUUAUUAUUAUUUUGAUUUGUAUACCAUUAUUUUCUUACUGCAUUGCAAUUAGAAUUUUUUUCAAGACUCAAGGAUUAAUAAAAAAUAAGAAAAACCCAACAAUGUUAUAAUUUUUUUAAUUAUAUUACAAAAUGGUUACAUUUCCUUUUACUUAAAUAUCUCAUUUUAUUUAAUAAUUGAAAUAUGCUAUUAUUGCUCUCAGCCUCUCAAUUUUAUUAUUGUCUUUUAUUUUAUUGAAUUUUGUUUCAGGAUAAUUUGCACCAAACUGAUGGAAAUGCAAGCUUUCUUCGUGCUGCCAGAGCAGGAAAUUUGGAAAAAGUAUUGGAAUACUUGAAAGGCAGUAUUGAUAUUAAUACUAGUAAUGCAGAAGUGGCUCUCACUGCCAAGAAGGAAGAAUUAAGAAGAUUAAAAAGAUCUAGAAGGUAAAAAGAAGAAAGAAACAGGGGGAAAAUGUAGGAAGAACAAAAAGACAAAAACAGACAUAUGGUGUACAGCCAUAUUAAAAAUAAAAUGUUAUGUGAAAAUUUUCAGUAAAAUUGUUAGAAUAAAGUUUUAAAAAUUAAUGCUGCGUCAGUAAAGAAAUAUUACUAAUACAGAAAUGAAUAAAAAGUUGACUGUUUUUAAUAGUUUUUCUUUUAAUAUUAUUAAUAUGAAAUAUUAAAUCACAAUAAUUAUGAUUAAGUUUUAUAAAAUGUUUCAGCUUAUUCUAUCAUUAAUUGUGAGGUGCUCUAUAUAAAUAAAAUAUAUUGA